GGGCGGGCCCGACGCGGCAGAGGCUAUUGAACCUCGUCAGGUCCGAGAGGAAGCAGCGAUAAGGUAGUCCCUCUGGGUGCCGUCGGUCAACCUGCCCAGG
This 100-nucleotide signal recognition particle RNA is filed under the name Chloroflexota bacterium. RNAcentral describes it as "signal recognition particle sRNA small type". It matches the Rfam family "Bacterial small signal recognition particle RNA". Rfam says of the family: The signal recognition particle (SRP) is a universally conserved ribonucleoprotein involved in the co-translational targeting of proteins to membranes. Archaeal SRP consists of a 7S RNA and homologues of the eukaryotic SRP19 and SRP54 proteins. The record is from RNAcentral. Lineage: Bacteria; Bacillati; Chloroflexota.